GGAGCUGUAGCUCAGUGGCAGAGCACUUGCCUUGCACAUGUGAGGCACUGUGUUCAAUCCUCAGCUCCA
Molecule: transfer RNA, 69 nt
Filed under: Marmota marmota marmota (Alpine marmot)
Lineage: Eukaryota; Metazoa; Chordata; Mammalia; Rodentia; Sciuridae
Also listed under: 1 other name
Rfam family: tRNA
About the family: Transfer RNA (tRNA) molecules are approximately 80 nucleotides in length. Their secondary structure includes four short double-helical elements and three loops (D, anti-codon, and T loops).
Source: Rfam by way of RNAcentral